Molecule: ribosomal RNA, 301 nt
Filed under: uncultured bacterium
Lineage: Bacteria
Description: partial 16S ribosomal RNA
Rfam family: Bacterial small subunit ribosomal RNA
Source: RNAcentral
CAGUCGCCGCGGGAAUACGUAGGGUGCAAGCGUUAAUCGGAAUUACUGGGCGUAAAGCGUGCGCAGGCGGUUAUAUAAGACAGAUGUGAAAUCCCCGGGCUCAACCUGGGAACUGCAUUUGUGACUGUAUAGCUGGAGUACGGCAGAGGGGGAUGGAAUUCCGCGUGUAGCAGUGAAAUGCGUAGAUAUGCGGAGGAACACCGAUGGCGAAGGCAAUCCCCUGGGCCUGUACUGACGCUCAUGCACGAAAGCGUGGGGAGCAAACAGGAUUAGAUACCCGAGUAGUCCCUGUCUCUUAUAA